CCAUUUCACCCAUCUUCCAUCAUCUCUCUCAUCUCCUGCAUCUCUCAGUUACGGACUGAAGAAAGACAAAUGUCGCUCACUGAUCUGACUCCGGUGGACUUAUCUUUGGUUGAUCUCUCCCUUGAAGACCACACAACUGGCGACUAACUGCGACAGGUAAAUGAACUAAUCUGUUUCCAGCUUUUGCCGACUCUAUUUUGUUGGUUUUCCAUUCCGAUCUUUAAGAUCCUGCUGUGUUUUGCCCCGUAGUGAUGGUAUUUGGUGGUGGAAACAUCGAUAUGAUCAUCAUCUUUUUUUCCCAAUUUCUUUUUUCUUCUACGACGGGUAAUUUUUUUUUCCUUUGCCAAAACACCCCUGCAGAACACGAACUGCUCCGUCAAACUUUUGGUCAUGCUGUUGUUGAUGGUUUUUUUUUUUUCUCGGAAAUUUGUUGUGUAUAAGCCCAUUUGUUGGUUUUUUUUUUUUUUUCAUUUCGGCCAAAAUCUGUUCGUCCAUCAAACGUUAUUGGUUAGUCAUUUCUGUUAACUAUUCUGAUUGAGAAACUGUGCUCAUAAAAGGCCCCUGCUGCUCAUCAGAUGAUUGUAGACAGUUUUGGCAUAAAUACUGGAAUAGGAAUUAACUUUGGGUUCAAUACAGUUCUUGUUAAAGUUUCUACCCAGAUUUUUGUUUUCAACAUUGUGGUAUUGAUUGACUAAAAUUCAAUUGAGAAACAAUGUUUGACAUUUAUGUGAAAGUAACCACAUUUUUUGGUUCGUAUUUACUUAAUUGAAAUUCUGUAUGUAUGACAAGUAGGUUUCCAUUUUGUAUGAAUCUGCUGUUUAUACUUCCUCACGAAUGCUUCAUGUAUGAGAAACCAUGACAUACCACGAUAAAUUUGCAUAUGCUUCUGUUGUUUGCCAUGUUACUAGUUUAAUUACUUGUCCCACAUUUUGUACAUCAAUUUCAUUUGAACUCACUUUUCAAAUGUAAUAAAAUAGAAACACAGCUUAAACUUAAAUAGAACUAGAUUCGUAAAUUAUUCUCAAUCCUGCAAACCAAACAAACAACCCAAACUGAAAGACCAAACUCUUUGAAAGCUCACAGUCAAACAAGUUGAAAAAAUCAUUAUUUACAAAUUUCAGUUGUUUUUUUAAAAUUUAGUUGGAUUCAAUUUGUAAAACUAUUUCACAAUUUCUUACAAAAUUUAAUGUUCCCACGACUAUGGACACGAACAAGAUGGGGACUUUUGUAAACAAGUUUUCAUCUCUUAAUUGCCAUUUUUUUCCUCUGGUUUGCUACCGUGUUCGGAAACAGUGGAUGGCUUCCUUUAUGUCCACUAGCACGUCAACAUGACCACAGCGAAUGUGUGCUUGCAGCUAUGGCCAUUGUUUUGUUAAGGUAUCCAGAUCUUACAAAAAUUAUGGUCGUGCAUAUUAUGUUUGCCUCCGGCUUGUGGUGAGUAGUGUCAAAUAUGCUAUUUCUAACUCCAUUGAAGGGCAAAAUAAUUGUUCCAUAACUAACUAGUGUUACGUUACUCAUUAGCAAUGUGUCAAUUGGAUUGGUUGGUGUGAUGAAUCAGGGAAAUGGACCCCCGAGCGUGACUCAUCCCCAAGUGAAGUCAUGCAAUUAUGGGCUGAUGUCGUGCAAAUUUUUAAUACCUUGUGUGUCAUGAAAAUAGUUAUUUUUGUGUUAUCCAUAAUGGUUAUCAUAUUAUUAUUGCGUAUGUAAAACCUCGUAACCACAUCGUUUAUGUACGUUUGAUGUUUGUUUAAUUAGUACAUGACGUGACAAAACUAGACUAUUGUAAAUGCUACUUGCUGUUACUUAUUAUGUACAAGUUUUUUGGUGUAUGUUUCAUUUUCAUUUUGCAUAUCGCAUUUGUUCGUGAGAUGUUGUCAAAAUUUUCCGUUUCUAAUUUAUGUAACAUGUGUAAAACACCUUCUACCAUAACUAGUGCAAUGGCUACAACGCAUUCGUCCCCUCGAACACCGUCCAAAAAUAAAGGGGUUGGACACUUCGCCAGUGAAGGUUUGUUGAUUACAUCGAUCAUUCACAUAAAGCAACUUGGGACAGUGCAUCAACCAAAAUCUUCUUAGAGUGUGUUCGGGAGGAAAUUUUAGCAGGCCAUAGGCUAGGUACAACUAUCAUGGCUGUAGGGUAUAAGGAAAUUGCUGUGAAUUCAUUCAGCGCACGGGUAGACGUCAUGACAUGAAACAGUUCAAGAACAAGUACCUUGCUUUGAAAAAGGAAUGGCAGGCUUGGAAUAAGUUGAUGGACAGUAGUAAGAUUGUCACCGGCAUUGGGUUUGAUAAGGCCACCAGCUUGUCAAUGCGUCAGAAGAGUGGUCGGAAAAUCUAAAAUCAACAAACAAGCUUGCAUACAAGUUCAAGACUAAGCUAUUGAAGCAUGAAGAUUUUAUGCACGAAGUUUCCAUAGGUGUAACCACAAUUGGGAAACAUCAUUGGACCCCCGGCGAGCAGGUUACGAACAUUGCGGAUAGUGAAUCUGAUUCAGUUGACUCCCCUAGUUUGCAACCAUAUCGACAGGUGGUUGACUCACCUACACACUCCCCCACCGUCCAGCUGGAUGAUGCAGAGUAGGGGUCAAAGAGGAAGAAUAGAGAUAGUACAAGUGGCAAGUCGAAGAAGUUCUCCAGUGGCGCAUUAGUGCUUGCGAACAGUUUCAACCAUCUCUUGGUGGCAGUUCGUUCACAAAAGCACCUCACGGUCAGGCACGGAACUGGUGCAUCUCAGAAGUGUGGCAUUGAGGCAUGCAUGCAGAGGAUUAUGGCUAUACGCAACUUUAUCAGUACGCCUUUUUUCCAUUUUGCCUUCAUUGCACUGGAGAACGCAGAUUAUCGUGAGAUACUAAUGUGCAUGCCUGAUAAUGGUAAUGUGGUCGGUUGGCUUGCAGCAUUGAAGGCUUCGAAAGAGCUGUGAGUCCCAGGGUUUGAUGUUUUUGGGAGAAAUAUGAAACUGUGUGGUGUUUGUGGACAUUAAUUGUGUUGUUAUGUUUAUUUAUUUUCCGUUUUUCCUAGCUUCGCUUUUCAGUACUGUUGGUUAAAUUUUAUGUUUUGGGUCAAUGGAUGCGAAGACUACGUGUUAAACAUUUUAUGCAAUUGCGUAUCCAGUAAUGCUUUAUGGAAGCAUGGUUUAGGUAUUAGUUUUGCUAAAUUGAGAACUAGAAUUGAUAUUCAUGGAAUGGAUUACUGUUUUUGGUUGGUA
Molecule: non-coding RNA, 3203 nt
Organism: Camellia sinensis
Lineage: Eukaryota; Viridiplantae; Streptophyta; Magnoliopsida; Ericales; Theaceae
Source: RefSeq, a predicted model, not a curated record